UUUCACCAUACUAAUACCCUUGUUGAUACUCUCAAUUUUCCAUUCUUCCUUUUAUCCCCGUCCCUAAAUCACUCUUUUACUCUUUCUAAUCUUCCCUAUUUAGCCCGAUGCAGUUGCCGGAACUUUCAUGGGAACAAGACGGGGGUGAAACUCCUUAUGGAGGAAAACUAUCCCUUCAUCUACACCACUAACCGAUUGGGAGUUUCCGGUGACCCACAAAAAUGGUAAACAAUCUUAGCCACCAGUGGGUUUCAAGUUUAGUCAAAUCAGAGGUGAAGUGUUUCUUUGUGCGAAAGCAUUUAUGGACGUAAGAGAGGAUGUUUAGGUAUGUUUAUUACUCUGGAUUUGGGCAUAAUCAUAAGUUUUGUAUGUUCAGACCAAUUGUGAUGAGAAGCGGUUGAUGAGGAAGCAAUCACAUGACCAAUUGAGUAAUUUUUCUAUUUUUUCUUUUCUCGUUUUAUUAUUUGUCACGUUCAUGUAAAUUUCAUCCUUAUCUAUUAGUUUUAUGUAACCAUCUUACAAUAAAUGGUACUAUCUUACAAUAAAUUCAACUGUCAUUUGUGAUAAUAGCACUUCCUUUAUUUUUUUUCUACUCUUUGUUUUCUUACUAAAUCUCUUCACUUGGUAAGUUGUUCAUAUGAGUUUCCUAUACAUUUGGAAUUAUUUUAUCACUUACUACAAUUCUUGAGUUGAGGACUCGACCAUUGAAGAAAAUUUGACAUGUUUUGGUUUAUAAUGUACAUUUAAUCUAAUGAUUCAAAAAUAUAUAUAUAUUUCUUGAUAGAUAGGCUCCACAUCGUUGGGUUUUAAAUGCCAUGGUUGACUUAAUCAAAUAAGGAGCAAUGCGUUCAUUAUAAUCUUGAAUUUUAAUUUGUUUUCAUAUACUCACAUUAUUCAGUUAAUAAGUUAUUCUGUUAUGCAGAUUGCAUUCGCUAGAUACAUCAAUCUCACACAAGAUUGGAUAGAUAAUCAUUAUCGAGUAUGGGUUCUUUCAAAACGAAGGAGGUUAUGGAAACUGGGCACUUUUAAAACCAUUCAUCUAGAUGGCUGCGCUUGAUUUCUAGGUUUGUUAGAAAGUGACAAAGUUUGGUAUUAAUGUGUUAUUGAUGGUGAUAUUCUAAUGUAUUAGUACUUGCGCCACGGUUGAAGGAUCAAAUGGCAGAGUUGAAACAAGAUGAAGCAUGAUAUGAAGGAGAAAUUUGUAUCUUUAUAUUGUUAGGUUUCAAUAAGUUUGAUAUUCUUUUUCCUAUUUCGUUUGUAUAUUCAUCUUCGGUGUGAUUUGUAUAUAUGUAUUUAAAAUUUA
This 1303-nucleotide long non-coding RNA is filed under the name Helianthus annuus (common sunflower). Its description in RNAcentral is "hypothetical non coding rna". Lineage: Eukaryota; Viridiplantae; Streptophyta; Magnoliopsida; Asterales; Asteraceae. The record is from RNAcentral.